RNAcentral lists this transfer RNA (68 nucleotides) under Cryptocotyle lingua. RNAcentral's name for it is "tRNA-Thr". The record is from RNAcentral. Lineage: Eukaryota; Metazoa; Platyhelminthes; Trematoda; Opisthorchiida; Heterophyidae.
GGAGAUAUAGUUUAAUUGAAAGAGAAUACGGUUUUUGUAAAACCGGGGUAUUAAUUUUAUUAUCUCCU